This 432-nucleotide ribosomal RNA is filed under the name uncultured bacterium. RNAcentral's name for it is "partial 16S ribosomal RNA". It matches the Rfam family "Bacterial small subunit ribosomal RNA", at positions 29 to 507 of the family's 1533-position model. The record is from RNAcentral.
AACGAACGCUGGCGGCAUGCCUAACACAUGCAAGUCGAACGAGACCUUCGGGUCUAGUGGCGCACGUGUGCGUAACGCGUGGGAACCUGCCCUUAGGUUCGGAAUAACUCCCCGAAAGGGGUUCUAAUACCGGAUAAUGUCUUCGGACCAAAGAUUUAUCGCCUUUGGAUGGGCCCGCGUUGGAUUAGCUAGUUGGUAGGGUAAAAGCCUACCAAGGCGACGAUCCAUAGCUGGUCUGAGAGGAUGAUCAGCCACACUGGGACUGAGACACGGCCCAGACUCCUACGGAGGCAGCAGUGGGGAAUAUUGGACAAUGGGCGAAAGCCUGAUCCAGCAAUGCCGCGUGAGUGAUGAAGGCCUUAGGGUUGUAAAGCUCUUUUACCCGGGAUGAUAAUGACAGUACCGGGAGAAUAAGCUCCGGCUAACUCCGUG